This 73-nucleotide transfer RNA is filed under the name Candidatus Iainarchaeum sp. Its description in RNAcentral is "tRNA-Thr". It matches the Rfam family "tRNA". Rfam says of the family: Transfer RNA (tRNA) molecules are approximately 80 nucleotides in length. The record is from RNAcentral. Lineage: Archaea; Nanobdellati; Candidatus Iainarchaeota; Candidatus Iainarchaeia; Candidatus Iainarchaeales; Candidatus Iainarchaeaceae.
GCCCCUGUGGCGCAGUUAGUAGCGCGGCAGUUUCGUAAACUGUAGGUCGAGAGUGCGAAUCUCUCCAGGGGCU